Pelobates cultripes (western spadefoot toad) is the source of this 624-nucleotide non-coding RNA. Lineage: Eukaryota; Metazoa; Chordata; Amphibia; Anura; Pelobatidae. The record is from the annotation of a GenBank genome assembly.
CAACUGCCAAAGUGAUUUCAAAGGGAAUUUCAAAUUUAAAGGGCAUCUAGCCGAACGAGCAUGUUUUUAGUUCUGCUACUUUGGUCUUAAAUUUGAAAUUCAUUCACUUUUGUGAAAAACCAUGUUAAUAUUUUAGUAACAGUAAAAUGGUCUGCUAUACAAAAAAAGUGAUUUUAUAUUGUCCAAUUAACCCCUUCUAGGUACUUACUAGGUGCGUCCGACUAGGUACAAUUUAUUGAUAACAAUCCAGGUAGCUAUACAGUCUGACUGGCAUCCCACAGAUGUCCCAGAGCUUAAAAAAUUCUGGGCUCUUACAAUGCUCAUGGGGAUUAUAAAGAAGCCAUCGAUUCGCUCAUACUGGAGCACCAACCCAAUAAUGUCUAGUCCAGUAUUCUCCCAAACUAUGCCUAGAGCCAGAUCCGAGUUACUGCUGAGAUUUUUUUCAUUUCAGUGACAAUACCCUCUGUCACCCUAGAGAUCACCCCCGUUCGCGGUAUUCCUACUUACUUACCCAAUCACCGGCAGGGGUGUCCCUCUCCGUCUUGGGGACAGCCCAGACAGUCUCCUCUCGGCAAAUUAUGACCCCAUGGGCAGUCCCCCUGCUGGUGGAAAAGUAAAAUAAAA